CCUGCCCGAGCUGCCGCCCUCGUCCCGCGCCGAGAUCGAGGGGACGCAGCGGGGGCUGAACAAGGAGCUGGCGGCGCUGAUCGCGAAGCUGCGGCUGGCGCAGCAGAACCGCGGCUCCUCGCUGGGCGCCGAGUGCCGCCGGCAGAUGCUCGCCGCCGCCCACAGCCCUCGCCGUCGACGCCAAGAACCUCCUGGACGCCGUGGACCAGGCCCGGCUCCGCGCCCCACCCCACCCCGAGUGACCGAGGGGAUGGAAAGUUCCGGAAACGGGAGGGAAAUGCGGAUUUUUGCCGUGGUUUAUUCGUUUUUCUGCUCUUCUUCGAGCUCCUCCUCAUCAUCCUCGUGUCUUGCCAAGCGUCGCGAUUUGGAAGACUGGAGGUGUCUGAUGGGGUUUGAUUUGGAGAAAUUGGAGGGUUUGGUGGGGGUUUUGAAUGGAAAAAUGAAAGUUUUUGGGGUUUUCCUUGGAAAAAAAGGGAGGUUUUGGAGUUUCUCCUUGAGAAAAUGGAGGUUUUUGGGGUUUUACUUGGAAAAAAAAAGGAGGUUCCUUGAAAAAAGGGAGGUUUGGGGGUUUUUCCAUGGAAAAAAUGGAAGUUUUGGGGGGUUCUGAACGGCGACCGCGGACCUGAAGAGGCGGAAAUCGGGAUGGAAAGUUCCGGAAACGGGAGGGAAAUGCCGAUUCUCGAUGCCGUGGUUUAUUCGUUUUUCUGCUCUUCUUCGCGCUCCUCCUCGUCUUCUUCGUGUCUUGCCGAGCGUCGCUCUUUGAAGGAUGGAAGGGUCUGGUGGGGUUCCCCUCGGAGAAGUUGGAGGGUUUGGGGUUUUGACUGGAAAAAUGAAAGUUGUUGGGGUUUCCCUUGGAAAAAUGACAAGUUUUUUGGGAAAAAAAGGGAGGUUUUGGGGGAUUACGUGGAAAAAAUUGAGGUUGUUUGGUUUUUAUUUGGGAAAAAAAAAUGAGGUUCUUGUGGUUUUCCUUGGAAAAAAAAUGUUUUGAGGUUUUAUUUGGAAGACGUGAGCUUUUUUGGGGGGGUUUUCCUUGGGAAAAAAAGGGAGAUUCCUUGGAAAAAGGGAGGUUUUGGGGUUUUUCCAUGGAAAAAAUGGAAGUUUUGGGGGGUUCUGAACGGUGGCCGUGGACGCCAAGAACCUCCUGGACGCCGUGGACCAGGCCCGGCUCCGCGCCCGACCCCACCCCGAGUGACCGAGGGGAUGGAAAGUUCCGGAAACGGGAGGGAAAUGUGGAUUUUCGCCGUGGUUUAUUCGUUUCUCUGCUCUUCUUCUUCUUCUUCCCGCCAUUCCUCGCCCUCUUCGUGUCUUGCCAAGCGUUGCUCUUUGAAGGACGGAAGGGUCUGGUGGGGUUCUCCUCGGAGAAAUUGGAGGGUUUGGGGUUUUGAAUGGAAAAAUGAAAGUUGUUGGGGUUUCCCUUGGAAAAAUGACAAGUUUUUUGGGAAAAAAAGGGAGGUUUUGGGGGAUUACGUGGAAAAAAUUGAGGUUGUUUGGUUUUUAUUUGGGGAAAAAAAAUGAGGUUCUUGUGGUUUUCCUUGGAAAAAAAAUGUUUUGAGGUUUUAUUUGGAAGACGUGAGCUUUUUUGGGGGGGGUUUUCCUUGGGAAAAAAAGGAGAUUCCUUGGAAAAAGGGAGGUUUGGGGGUUUUUCCAUGGAAAAAAUGGAAGUUUUGGGGGGUUCUGAACGGCGACCGUGGACGCCAAGAACCUCCUGGACGCCGUGGACCAGGCCCGGCUCCGCGCCCGACCCCACCCCGAGUGACCGAGGGGAUGGAAAGUUCCGGAAACGGGAGGGAAAUGCCGAUUCUCGAUGCCGUGGUUUAUUCGUUUCUCUGCUCUUCUUCUUCUUCUUCUUCCCGCCAUUCCUCGCCCUCUACGUGUCUUGCUGAGCGCCGCGAUUUGGAAGACUGGAGGUGUCUGAUGGGGUUUGAUUUGGAGAAAUGGAAGUUUUGGGGUUUUAUUUGGAAAAAAAUCAAAGUUUGGGUUUUUGUUUGGAAAAAAUGGCGUUUAUGGGGCUUUCCUUGGAAAAAAAUGUUUUGGGGUUUCCCUUGGAAAAAAGGGGAGGUUUUGGAUCUUUUCCUUGGAGAACAUGAGGGGUUUUAGGGGAUGUCCUUGGAAAAAAAGGGAGGUUUUGCGGUUUUACUUGGAAAAAAAUGAAGUUUUUUUGGAGUUUCCCCUUGAGAAAAUUGCGGGUUUUGGUGUUUUUAUUUGGAAAAGAUGGAAGAUUUUUGGGGUUUUUGUGUGGAGAGGAGGCGCCGAUGGGGCAGACGACACCAAGAACCUCCUGGACGCCGUGGACCAGGCCCGGCUCCGCGCCCGACCCCACCCCGAGUGACCGAGGGGAUGGAAAGUUCCGGAAACGGGAGGGAAAUGCCGAUUCUCAAUGCCGUGGUUUAUUCGUUUUUUCUGCCCUUCUUCGCGCUCCUCCUCAUCCUCGUGUCUUGCCGAGCGUCGCUCUUUGAAGGAUGGAAGGGUCUGGUGGGGUUCUCCUCGGAGAUAUUGGAGGAUUUGGUGGGGUUUUGAAUGGAAAAAUGGAAGUUUUUCGGGUUUUCCUUGUAAAAAAAGGGAGGUUUUGGAGCUUCUCCUUGAGAAAACGGAGGUUUUUGGGGUUUCACUUGGGAAAAAUGGAGAUUCCUUGGAAAAAAGGGAGGUUUUGGAGUUUCUCCUUGAGAAAAUGGAGGUUUGUGGGGUUUCACUUGGAAAUAAAAAGGAGAUUCCUUGAAAAAAGGGAGGUUUGGGGGUUUUUCCAUGGAAAAAAUGGAAGUUUUGGGGGGUUCUGAACGGUGGCCGUGGACGCCAAGAACCUCCUGGACGCCGUGGACCAGGCCCGGCUCCGCGCCCGACCCCACCCCGAGUGACCGAGGGGAUGGAAAGUUCCGGAAACGGGAGGGAAAUGUGGAUUUUUGCCGUGGUUUAUUCGUUUCUCUGCUCUUCUUCUUCUUCUUCCCGCCAUUCCUCGCCCUCUUCGUGUCUUGCCGAGCGUCGCUCUUUGAAGGAUGGAAGGGUCUGGUGGGGUUCUCCUCGGAGAAAUUGGAGGGUUUGGGGUUUUGAAUGGAAAAAUGAAAGUUGUUGGGGUUUCCCUUGGAAAAAUGACAAGUUUUUUGGGAAAAAAAGGGAGGUUUUGGGGGAUUACGUGGAAAAAAUUGAGGUUGUUUGGUUUUUAUUUGGGGAAAAAAAAUGAGGUUCUUGUGGUUUUCCUUGGAAAAAAAAUGUUUUGAGGUUUUAUUUGGAAGACGUGAGCUUUUUUGGGGGGGUUUUCCUUGGGAAAAAAAGGAGAUUCCUUGGAAAAAAGGGAGGUUUUGGGGUUUUUCCAUGGAAAAAAUGGAAGUUUUGGGGGGUUCUGAACGGCGACCGUGGACGCCAAGAACCUCCUGGACGCCGUCGACCAGGCCCGGCUCCGCGCCCGACCCCACCCCGAGUGACCGAGGGGAUGGAAAGUUCCGGAAACGGGAGGGAAAUGUGGAUUUUUGCCGUGGUUUAUUCGUUUCUCUGCUCUUCUUCUCCUUCUUCUUCCCGCCAUUCCUCGCCCUCUACGUGUCUUGCCGAGCGUCACGAUUUGGAAGACUGGAGGUGUCUGAUGGGGUUUGAUUUGGAGAAAUGGAAGUUUUGGGGCUUUAUUUGGAAAAAAAUCGAAGUUUGGGUUUUUGUUUGGAAAAAAUGGCGUUUAUGGGGCUUUCCUUGGAAAAAAAUGUUUUGGGGUUUCCCUUGGAAAAAAGGGGAGGUUUUGGAUCUUUUCCUUGGAGAACAUGAGGGGUUUUGGGGAUGUCCUUGGAAAAAAAGGGAGAUUCCUUGGAAAAAAGGGAGGUUUUGGAGUUUCUCCUUGAGAAAAUGGAGGUUUUUGGGGUUUUACUUGGAAAAAAAAAGGAGGUUCCUUGAAAAAAGGGAGGUUUUAGGGUUUUUCCAUGGAAAAAAUGGAAGUUUUGGGGGGUUCUGAACGGUGGCCGUGGACGCCAAGAACCUCCUGGACGCCGUGGACCAGGCCCGGCUCCGCGCCCGACCCCACCCCGAGUGACCGAGGGGAUGGAAAGUUCCGGAAACGGGAGGGAAAUGUGGAUUUUUGCCGUGGUUUAUUCGUUUUUCUGCUCUUCUUCUCCUUCUUCUUCCCGCUCCUCCUCGUCAUCCUCGUGUGUCGCCGAGUGUCGCGUCGCGAUUUGGA
Molecule: long non-coding RNA, 4150 nt
Organism: Melospiza melodia melodia
Lineage: Eukaryota; Metazoa; Chordata; Aves; Passeriformes; Passerellidae
Exons: 3
Source: RefSeq, a predicted model, not a curated record